Molecule: ribosomal RNA, 253 nt
Filed under: Chelonibia testudinaria
Lineage: Eukaryota; Metazoa; Arthropoda; Thecostraca; Balanomorpha; Chelonibiidae
Description: partial 12S ribosomal RNA
Source: RNAcentral
CGGAUUUGGCGGCAAGAUAGCUUUUUAGAGGAACCUGCCCUGUGAACGAUGAUCCACGAGAGCCUUACUUUAUUUUGAAAUCAGUUUGUAUACCGCUGUUGUCAGUUAGAUUUUUGAGAAUAUUUUCUUUUUGGUAAAGCCAAUGACUUCAAGUAAAGGUGCAGCUUAUAGUAAAGUUAGAGGUGGGUUACAUUUAUAUGAAUAAGACGGAUUAAGGAUUUAAUUGACUUAUGAAGGUGGAUUUAACCGUAAA